GGGAGACCCCUCCAUUUUGUCUUCAGCUGGAUAAAGAGAUAGCCUCUCCACCCCCAAGGAUACCUGAAAAAAACUGGAACAAAGGAGAGUAACUACAGGGGCUGUGAGUGAUUGCUGAACCUAGACUAGAAGGAGACUAAAAGGAAGCUGACUGGACUUGUGCGGAAUGAACUUUGUCAUGAGCACCGUAUUGAGGUUGCAUCCCACAGACCAAACACACCAGAAGAUAUCUCACCACAAAGACACCAGAAGAUAUCACACCACAAAAUACCAGAUGAUAUCAGUAUACAGUGAAGAAGCCCCCCAAGCAUCAAGAAAAGAAAAAUGUAGUACUUUAUAAAUAAGAGACUGACCAAAUACACUUCAGUCUACCAUAUAUGAACAAUUAAGUUGGCAAUCAGCUAGAAAUCACUGACAGUUAAUUUCACUUUGGCUACUGUGUAAAAGCAACUAUUAUUGCUGUAUUACUGUAUUAUUGUUGUAGUGUUGUCUUAUUGUUGUAUUACUGUAUUAUUGUUGUAUUAUUGCUCUAUAUCAUUUACAAUGUGCAUAACAUUGCUAAACUGUUUAGCCAACACACAUGUAAAAAUUAACAAAUGAACGGCAGCAAACAACAUGAAGGCAAGGAAAAAAAAAAAAUUGGCAAAGAAAUUAAGUUACACGGUAACUACAAAUUGGGUAAACAAAUUGCCUAUUAGUACCUGUCAUAAUUUGGGUCAGUGACACUGCAACCUAACUGAGGCACAUGUUAUUCAAAACAAUCCUGAUCAGUGUCUGGACACCAGUACUCCAUCCUGACACUGCAAUACUUGCUUAAUUGGUUACUGUCCAUGCAGUAGGUUUAUCUGAAAGACAGCAUCCAUAAGAAACAACUGGAUCUACAUCAUCUACUGGUGUAUCACAGAGCAGUUCAACCAAUGGAACAGAGAAGUUGGCCACUUCUGUUUCCUGCCCAGUGAUGCUUACCACAGGGUGACAACCAGCAGUAAGGGUAACCUAUAACAUGAAUGGACAGUCCUGUGUAGUAAUUAAUUACAAUAUAUUUAUAUAUAAAGGCCUCAGGGGUAGUGUCACUACUCCAAAUUUCUCUUUUACUUCCCCUUUACAUAGCACUGUGGGACACAUUAUCACAAUCCCUAUCCAAGUAUUUCAAAACACUCAACGUACUGCUAAUAAUGAUACAGAGGGUAACUGUAAUUGCCCAAAUAAAAGUGGGUUGCUAUCUGCAGUACCACAAGGACCAAACUACACCACCAGAUUGGAAAAGAAUUGUUAUGCUUGGACAUAAAGUGCUGUUAUAUGUAAACAUACAUACUAUACAUAGAUGCCCAUUUACGCUACAAAUAUAUACGCCAUAUCCAUAUUAUUCAUUUAUAUUAAUUACUUGGGAGAAUAAGGCUCAAUCAUAAUACUACAUUCCUCAGUCAUGGUCCCAGACCUAACAUUCCCAGGCCCACCAUAAGGGACUAAAAACUAAUUGGAUAAUAAAAUCAGUCCAUCAGUCGUACGAGGGAAUGUGGACUAAAAAGACAGAUGAGGCAUGAGUGUAUGGAUGGUAACAUAAGGUAACCACAUAACAGUGUUUAGCCCACUGAGUUAUAUUUAGUCCAUGCACUAUUCUUUUCUGGGACGAUGGGUAAACAUCCUCCCCAUAAAAGACAAAAAAUGGGGGAAUGUAGUAAGAUGAGGCCCUGAAACAUAAACCCUUGUAUCAGAGGCCUGGUAUGAGGCGUAAGGCCUGAACUACAGUAACGGUCAAGACUUUGUUAACAUAAAGCCAAGUUAAGCUGUGAGCAAGAGGCAGGCCCUGCUCAGAGUCUGGCAAGGAAAGGGCUGAUGUUGCAAAAAUACACAUUCCAGAAAGGGACUGGACACGAGAGAUAGAAACAUGUGCCAGGCUGGUACCAGAACACUCCGAUACUUGCACAUUCCACACAGAUAACCAGGAGAGAGGCGGCACCCUAACGCAUAGAGGGGCUGGACCUCAAUGUGUCAGGAGUGAGAUGUAACUUGUUUGGCCCUCUGUAUAAGAAUGCACCCCUGAGCGGUUGUCUCUGUCUGGCCUAGGGGUCAGUGGAGAAUCCCGCCACUGACUGAGCCGGUCCAUUGUCAAGGAGCACAUACACUUUAAAUAGGUAUGUGGGUAAAUAGGACUAAUCCCCUGAGAUGAGAUAUUAGAUGGAUGGGAUCUGAGUUACCCAGGAAAGAAUUUUCUAUAGUAUCUGGCUGGUGAAUCUUGCCCAUAUGCUAAGGGUUUAGCUGGUCACCAUAUUUGGGGUCGGGAAGGAAUCUUCCUCCAGGGCAGAUUGGAGAGGCCCUGGAGGUUUUUCACCUUCCUCUGUAGCAUGGGGCAUGGGUCACUUGAGGGAGGCUUCUCUGCUCCUUGAAGUCUUUAAACCACGAUUUGAGGACUUCAAUAGCUCAGACAUAGGUGAGGUUUUUCGUUGGAGUGGGUGGGUGAGAUUCUGUGGCCUGCAUUGUGCAGGAGGUCGGACUAGAUGAUCAGAAUGGUCCCUUCUGACCUUAGUAUCUAUGAAUCUAUAUGUACUAGCAGAACUGCAGACAUCUGAUCCGGGGAGCUGGAGACUGUGUUUCGUUAGGCAAAAUAAACCUGGCCGGGUGCCUUCGUACCUUAUCGGAGUCUGUGGUCACUGCGGGUUCUCUCGGGGUCAGCUGUGUCAGUG
Dermochelys coriacea (leatherback sea turtle) is the source of this 2684-nucleotide long non-coding RNA. RefSeq lists it as uncharacterized. The record is from RefSeq and is a predicted model, not a curated record. The transcript is spliced from 3 exons. Lineage: Eukaryota; Metazoa; Chordata; Testudines; Dermochelyidae.